This 253-nucleotide ribosomal RNA is filed under the name uncultured bacterium. RNAcentral describes it as "partial 16S ribosomal RNA". It matches the Rfam family "Bacterial small subunit ribosomal RNA", at positions 524 to 776 of the family's 1533-position model. The record is from RNAcentral.
UACAGGGGGGGCAAGCGUUGUUCGGAAUUACUGGGCGUAAAGGGCCAGUAGGCGGCCAACUAAGUCCGACGUGAAAUCCCCAAGCUUAACUUGGGAACUGCGUCGGAUACUGGAUGGCUUGAAUUCGGGAGAGGGAUGCAGAAUUCCAGGUGUAGCGGUGAAAUGCGUAGAUAUCUGGAGGAACACCGGUGGCGAAGGCGGCAUCCUGGACCGACACUGACGCUGAGGAGCGAAAGCCAGGGGAGCAAACGGG